Molecule: non-coding RNA, 265 nt
Organism: Pantherophis guttatus
Lineage: Eukaryota; Metazoa; Chordata; Lepidosauria; Squamata; Colubridae
Source: RefSeq, a predicted model, not a curated record
GGUUGGCUGUCUGGGUGGGGUUUGCUCUGCUGGGUAAGAGCUGCGUAAGGGAACGUCACAAAUACUCUGUGGACACCUGGUGGCAGAUUCCUCCUCCUCCCGGAGGGCCUGGAUGAGGCCGUUGGACAGGAGGCUAAAUAGAAACCCCACCUUCCCUUUGUUGGUUUAGCGGAGAGAGAGACGGACGCUCAACCUAGUCUCAGACACGGAUGGACGGAUGGACAGUAAGCCACGGCCACCAGAAGACCCCCCCCCUUUCCGAGAG